This 164-nucleotide ribosomal RNA is filed under the name uncultured bacterium. Its description in RNAcentral is "partial 16S ribosomal RNA". It matches the Rfam family "Bacterial small subunit ribosomal RNA", at positions 355 to 511 of the family's 1533-position model. The record is from RNAcentral.
UAGGGAAUCUUCCACAAUGGGCGAAAGCCUGAUGGAGCAACGCCGCGUGUGUGAUGAAGGGUUUCGGCUCGUAAAACACUGUUGUAAGAGAAGAAUGACAUUGAGAGUAACUGUUCAAUGUGUGACGGUAUCUUACCAGAAAGGAACGGCUAAAUACGNGCCAG